Molecule: ribosomal RNA, 796 nt
Filed under: uncultured Methanosarcina sp.
Lineage: Archaea; Methanobacteriati; Methanobacteriota; Methanomicrobia; Methanosarcinales; Methanosarcinaceae
Description: SSU rRNA
Rfam family: Archaeal small subunit ribosomal RNA
Source: RNAcentral
ACGGCUCAGUAACACGUGGAUAACCUGCCCUUGGGUCCGGCAUAACUCCGGGAAACUGGAGAUAAUUCCGGAUAACGCAUAUAUGCUGGAAUGCUUUAUGCGUAAAAUGGAUUCGUCUGCCCAAGGAUGGGUCUGCGGCCUAUCAGGUAGUAGUGGGUGUAAUGUACCUACUAGCCUACGACGGGUACGGGUUGUGAGAGCAAGAGCCCGGAGAUGGAUUCUGAGACAUGAAUCCAGGCCCUACGGGGCGCAGCAGGCGCGAAAACUUUACAAUGCGGGAAACCGUGAUAAGGGGACACCGAGUGCCAGCAUCAUAUGCUGGCUGUCCAGGUGUGUAAAAUACACCUGUUAGCAAGGGCCGGGCAAGACCGGUGCCAGCCGCCGCGGUAACACCGGCGGCCCGAGUGGUGAUCGUGAUUAUUGGGUCUAAAGGGUCCGUAGCCGGUUUGGUCAGUCCUCCGGGAAAUCUGAUAGCUCAACUAUUAGGCUUUCGGAGGAUACUGCCAGACUUGGAACCGGGAGAGGUAAGAGGUACUACAGGGGUAGGAGUGAAAUCUUGUAAUCCCUGUGGGACCACCUGUGGCGAAGGCGUCUUACCAGAACGGGUUCGACGGUGAGGGACGAAAGCUGGGGGCACGAACCGGAUUAGAUACCCGGGUAGUCCCAGCCGUAAACGAUGCUCGCUAGGUGUCAGGCAUGGCGCGACCGUGUCUGGUGCCGCAGGGAAGCCGUGAAGCGAGCCACCUGGGAAGUACGGCCGCAAGGCUGAAACUUAAAGGAAUUGGCGGGGGAGCAC